Molecule: ribosomal RNA, 253 nt
Filed under: uncultured bacterium
Lineage: Bacteria
Description: partial 16S ribosomal RNA
Rfam family: Bacterial small subunit ribosomal RNA
Source: RNAcentral
UACGAAGGGGGCGAGCGUUGUUCGGAUUUACUGGGCGUAAAGGGCGCGUAGGCGGCCUUGUCAGUCAGGCGUGAAAGCCCCGGGCUCAGCCUGGGAACGGCGCUUGGGACGGCGAGGCUGGAGUUCGGGAGAGGAGAGUGGAAUUCCCAGUGUAGAGGUGAAAUUCGUAGAUAUUGGGAAGAACACCGGUGGCGAAGGCGGCUCACUGGCUCGUAACUGACGCUCAUGCACGACAGCGUGGGGAGCAAACAGG